RNAcentral lists this ribosomal RNA (319 nucleotides) under uncultured bacterium. RNAcentral describes it as "bacterial SSU rRNA". It matches the Rfam family "Bacterial small subunit ribosomal RNA", at positions 958 to 1276 of the family's 1533-position model. The record is from RNAcentral.
AACGCGAAGAACCUUACCUGGUCUUGACAUCCACAGAACCUGGCAGAGAUGCCGGGGUGCCUUCGGGGGACAGAGUGACAGGUGGUGCAUGGUUGUCGUCAGCUCGUGUCGUGAGAUGUUGGGUUAAGUCCCGCAACGAGCGCAACCCUUGACCUUAGUUGCCAGCAUUUCGGAUGGGCACUCUAGGGUGACUGCCGGUGACAAACCGGAGGAAGGUGGGGAUAACGUCAAAUCAUCAUGCCCCUUACGACCUGGGCUACACACGUGCUACAAUGGAUGGGACAAAGGGUCGCGAUCCCGCGAGGGUGAGCUAACUCCA